CCUACGGGUGGCUGCAGUAAGGAAUAUUGGACAAUGGAGGCAACUCUGAUCCAGCCAUGCCGCGUGAAGGAUUAAGGCCCUAUGGGUUGUAAACUUCUUUUAGACGGGACAAAACCCCUUUACGUGUAAAGGGUUGAUGGUACUGUCAGAAUAAGCAUCGGCUAACUUCGUGCCAGCAGCCGCGGUAAUACGAAGGAUGCAAGCGUUAUCGGGAAUUAUUGGGGUGAAGGGGUGCGUAGAAGGACUAGUAGAAAGCCUGCAGCUUAACUGCAGAAGUGCCGUUGAUACUGUUAGUCUUGAGUACAGUUGAGGUAGGCGGAAUGUGUCAUGUAGCGGUGAAAUGCUUAGAUAUGACACAGAACACCGAUUGCGAAGGCAGCUUGCUAAGCUGUAACUGACGCUGAGGCACGAAAGCGUGGGGAGCAAACAGGAUUAGAUACCCUAGUAGUC
This 450-nucleotide ribosomal RNA is filed under the name uncultured bacterium. RNAcentral's name for it is "partial 16S ribosomal RNA". It matches the Rfam family "Bacterial small subunit ribosomal RNA", at positions 338 to 795 of the family's 1533-position model. The record is from RNAcentral.